UACGUAGGGGGCUAGCGUUGUCCGGAUUUAUUGGGCGUAAAGAGCGCGUAGGCGGUCCGGUAAGUCGGUUGUGAAAACUGGGGGCUCAACCCUCAGAGGCCGACCGAUACUGCUGGGCUAGAGUCCGGAAGAGGCGAGUGGAAUUCCUGGUGUAGCGGUGAAAUGCGCAGAUAUCAGGAGGAACACCAAUGGCGAAGGCGAGUCCCUGGACAACACCUGACACUGAGGCACGAAAGCUAGGGGAGCAAACAGG
RNAcentral lists this ribosomal RNA (253 nucleotides) under uncultured bacterium. RNAcentral's name for it is "partial 16S ribosomal RNA". It matches the Rfam family "Bacterial small subunit ribosomal RNA", at positions 524 to 776 of the family's 1533-position model. The record is from RNAcentral.